AUCUUACCGGGUCCGGACGUAUCGAGGAUUGACAGAUAGUUAUACAUGCCCUACAAGCAAGUAGGAGUCAGGUUUUAAACCUAAUGGCUCUUUCAUGAUUAUAUGAUAGGUGGUGCAUGGCCGUUCUUAGUUCGUGGAGUGAUCUGUCUGCUUAAUUGCGUUUCAAAUUUUUAACCGAGGACCGGGUUUUGGUUUGGCUAGUGGUCCUACGAUGACUGUGAACUGUCAUGUCUUCGGAUGUACGACUAUCGGUCUAGGAUCACAUGACUUGCCCCUGGGACUCUUUUGAACGCAACGGACGUGAUUGCAACCCCUUGUUGAGAUUAGAGAUAGUCUCGAUAUUCACUGGCCAAACUGGCUGCUUUAUGCAGUCUUGUUGAAUGGUGGAUAAACUCGGGGGACUGCUGACUAUAACCAUUUCUCCAAACAGAGGAAGGUUGCGGCAAUAACAGGUCUGUGAUGCCCUCAAAUGUCCCGGGCUAACUGCGCGCGUGCUACAAUGAGUGGCGCAAUGAGCUAAUGUUUUAAGGGAUAAGCGGGCGGCCAAGAAAACGGCGGCAAUUGCCCUGGCGUCUUUCUACCGCACGAUUAUCAACGAUCCCUUUAUCAAGGCGGGGCAACCUUUUUC
Molecule: ribosomal RNA, 628 nt
Filed under: Globigerinoides ruber albus
Lineage: Eukaryota; Foraminifera; Rotaliida; Globigerinidae
Description: SSU rRNA
Rfam family: Eukaryotic small subunit ribosomal RNA
Source: RNAcentral